Molecule: ribosomal RNA, 497 nt
Filed under: uncultured bacterium
Lineage: Bacteria
Description: partial 16S ribosomal RNA
Rfam family: Bacterial small subunit ribosomal RNA
Source: RNAcentral
GAUGAACGCUGGCGGCGUGCCUAAUACAUGCAAGUCGAGCGAACAGAUGAGGAGUUUGCGCCUCUGACGUGAGGGGCGGACGGGUGAGUAACACGUGGAUAACCCACCUAUAAGACGGGGAUAAGUUCGGGAAACCGGAGCAAAUACCGGAAAAUAUAGUGAACGGCAGGGUUUAAUAGUGAAAGACGGUGUUGCGGCCACAUGUAGAUGGAUCCGCGUCGCAUUAGCUAGUGGGUAAGGUAAAGGCUUACCAAGGCAACGAGGCGUAGCCGACCUGAGAGGGUGAUCGGCCACACUGGAACUGAGCCACGCUCCAGACUCCUGCGGGAGGCAGCAGUCGGGAGUCUUCCGCAAUGGGCGAAUGCCUGACGGAGCAACGCCGCGUGAGUGAUGAAGGUCUUCGGAUCGUAAAACUCUGUUAUUUGGGAAGAACAAAUGUGUAAGUAACUAUGCGCGUCUUGACGGUACCUAAUCAGAAAGCCACGGCUAACUACGUG